GACGAACGCUGGCGGCGUGCCUAAUACAUGCAAGUAGAACGCUGAAGGAGGAGCUUGCUUCUCUGGAUGAGUUGCGAACGGGUGAGUAACGCGUAGGUAACCUGCCUGGUAGCGGGGGAUAACUAUUGGAAACGAUAGCUAAUACCGCAUAAGAGUAGAUGUUGCAUGACAUUUGCUUAAAAGGUGCAAUUGCAUCACUACCAGAUGGACCUGCGUUGUAUUAGCUAGUUGGUGAGGUAACGGCUCACCAAGGCGACGAUACAUAGCCGACCUGAGAGGGGGAACGGCCACACUGGGACUGAGACACGGCCCAGACUCCUACGGGAGGCAACAGUAGGGAAUCUUCGGCAAUGGACGGAAGUCUGACCGAGCAACGCCGCGUGAGUGAAGAAGGUUUUCGGAUCGUAAAGCUCUGUUGUAAGAGAAGAACGAGUGUGAGAGUGGAAAGUUCACACUGUGACGGUAUCUUACCAGAAAGGGACGGCUAACUACGUG
This 495-nucleotide ribosomal RNA is filed under the name uncultured bacterium. Its description in RNAcentral is "partial 16S ribosomal RNA". It matches the Rfam family "Bacterial small subunit ribosomal RNA", at positions 28 to 507 of the family's 1533-position model. The record is from RNAcentral.